This 410-nucleotide ribosomal RNA is filed under the name Russula sp. 316-504. Its description in RNAcentral is "eukaryotic LSU rRNA". The stretch from base 1 to 105 matches the Rfam family "5.8S ribosomal RNA", at positions 50 to 154 of the family's 154-position model. The record is from RNAcentral. Lineage: Eukaryota; Fungi; Basidiomycota; Agaricomycetes; Russulales; Russulaceae.
GAAAUGCGAUACGUAAUGUGAAUUGCAGAAUUCAGUGAAUCAUCGAAUCUUUGAACGCACCUUGCGCCCCUUGGCAUUCCGAGGGGCACACCCGUUUGAGUGUCGUGAAACCCUCAAAAACCCUCUUCUUUGAGGAUUUUUGGACUUGGAGGUUUGAUGCUCGCUUUCACGUUCGAAAGCGAGCUCCUCUCAAAAGAAUCAGUGGGGUCUGCUUUGCCGGUCCUUGACGUGAUAAGAUGUUUCUACGUUUCGGAUUUGGCAUCGUCCCCUUGGGGAUGCCCCUGCUCCUAAUAAUCGUCUCACGGACGAUCGAUGGUGCUUCGGUCACCGCCAUCUAACGUUGGCGGGAGGCUGGACCCACAAAAGAAGACCUUGACCUCAAAUCGGGUGAGACUACCCGCUGAACUUAA